AAACCACAAAUCUCAAUACCCUAUCCGGUAUGAAGGUGAAACGGGCCGUCCCCAUACCCCGUCCGAUAUGGGUGCCAAAAUGCAUAAGGUCUCCAUACCCCAUUCGAUAUGAGAGACUACAUUCCCGGUAGGGUUCCCUAUGGAUCUGGUCCGUCCACCAUCUCCCAAGAUAUCUAGUGAGGCUGUAGACAUUAUUCAUUAUCAAUUCACAUACUUUUUUACCAUUUUUC
Molecule: long non-coding RNA, 230 nt
Filed under: Carica papaya (papaya)
Lineage: Eukaryota; Viridiplantae; Streptophyta; Magnoliopsida; Brassicales; Caricaceae
Description: long non-coding RNA (CPAP_LNC006960)
Source: RNAcentral